Molecule: ribosomal RNA, 468 nt
Filed under: uncultured bacterium
Lineage: Bacteria
Description: partial 16S ribosomal RNA
Rfam family: Bacterial small subunit ribosomal RNA
Source: RNAcentral
GACGAACGCUGGCGGCGUGCUUAACACAUGCAAGUCGAACGGAAAGGCCCUGGUUUUGUGGGGUGCUCGAGUGGCGAACGGGUGAGUAACACGUGAGUAACCUGCCCUUGACUUUGGGAUAACUUCAGGAAACUGGGGCUAAUACCGGAUAGGAGCUCCUGCUGCAUGGUGGGGGUUGGAAAGUUGCGGCGGUUGGGGUUGGACGCGCGGCUUAUCAGCUUGUUGGGGGGGUAGUGGCUUACCAAGGCUUUGACGGGUAGCCGGCCUGAGAGGGUGAACGGCGACAUUGGGACUGAGAUAGGGCCCAGACGGCUACGGGAGGCAGCAGGGGGGAGUAUUGCACAAUGGGGGGAAGCCUGAUGCAGCAACGUCGGGUGCGUGAUGACGGCCUUCGGGUUGUAAAACGCUUGCGCCUGUGACGAAGCGUGAGUGACGGUAAUGGGUAAAGAAGCACCGGCUAACUACGUG